This 231-nucleotide ribosomal RNA is filed under the name uncultured bacterium. RNAcentral's name for it is "partial 16S ribosomal RNA". It matches the Rfam family "Bacterial small subunit ribosomal RNA", at positions 524 to 753 of the family's 1533-position model. The record is from RNAcentral.
UACGUAGGUGGCAAGCGUUGUCCGGAAUUAUUGGGCGUAAAGCGCGCGCAGGUGGUUCCUUAAGUCUGAUGUGAAAGCCCACGGCUCAACCGUGGAGGGUCAUUGGAAACUGGGGAACUUGAGUGCAGAAGAGGAUAGUGGAAUUCCAAGUGUAGCGGUGAAAUGCGUAGAGAUUUGGAGGAACACCAGUGGCGAAGGCGACUAUCUGGUCUGUAACUGACACAUGAGGAG